This 134-nucleotide small RNA is filed under the name Salmonella enterica subsp. enterica serovar Infantis. Its description in RNAcentral is "RtT sRNA". It matches the Rfam family "RtT RNA". Rfam says of the family: This family represents a bacterial cis-regulatory element known as RtT RNA. The exact function of RtT is unknown although it is thought that it may be involved in changing the cellular response in relation to amino acid starvation. Lineage: Bacteria; Pseudomonadati; Pseudomonadota; Gammaproteobacteria; Enterobacterales; Enterobacteriaceae. RNAcentral also lists the same sequence under 48 other names. The record is from RNAcentral.
UGUAUCGGAAGCCUGACGAGGAUGAGAACCUCCGGGGGCAAGAGGUUCGACCCGAGCGAAGCGAGAGAACGUUGCGUCAGCAACGGCCCGCAGGGCGAGCCACGCAGUGGCGAGUCAUCCUCUAUCACCGACCA